Sus scrofa (pig) is the source of this 726-nucleotide long non-coding RNA. RefSeq lists it as uncharacterized. The record is from RefSeq and is a predicted model, not a curated record. NCBI's taxonomy places the organism in Eukaryota, Metazoa, Chordata, Mammalia, Artiodactyla, Suidae.
CAUUGGCCCGCCUGGGAGUCUUCCAGUGGGGUCGGCCCCAUGAACUCAGAGGGCAGAAGGCAGCUCUAAAGAGAGGGCUCGCGAACGAAACAACACCCGGUGAAAUGACCCAGGCUGGUAACAUGGUGAUCCAGGGACCCAAUUUCUUUCCAGCUGUACUAUAGAAUUAUUUUGAAGCAAUUCCCAACCACCGUAUUACUUCACUGCAUAAUUAUUAUUGAACAGUUCAGAAAAUGGACUCUGGAAACAAACUGCCUAGAUUCGACCCAGACAAAGUAGCUGUGUGAUCUCAGGAUGAGAAAAACUGAGCAAAGGACAGUGACCUGUCCAGGGUCAUGCAGCAAGCUGCUGGACUGAGCCUGCAUUCUAUCCAACUCCUCUGGAGUGCUUGAUUGUAAUCACUCUCCUUUACUAUUGUCUAAACUAGGCAGACAGAAUUCAUAUUCCCAUUCUACAGACAGGAAGCCUGUAAAAGUUCUUCAGAGAGGUCAAGCAAAUUGCCCAAAGUAGCCCUGGGAGUCCCUAGAAAACACACCUGCAGAUUUCUACCCUUCCAACCGCUUCAAGCCCAGCCCCAUCCCCGAGCAAGAAUUACUUUCUGCUCCCCGCCUCGCGCCCCCCCCCCCCCCCGCGCGCUGGCUGGUCUCCUUGAUGUCCCUGAUGACCCUCUAGUAAAGACUUCCACCCUCUCUCACAACCCCCACCCCGUGCUGGCCCUGGCCUGCC